GUCUCAAUUUUUAAAAGCUUUUGUCAAUAUAAUAUAGUAACACUUAUCCUAUUUAAACCAUUUUAUAAAUUAGUAACUUUGACUGAAUUUUCAUCAUACGCUAAGUACCGAAAGGGAACACUUACCUAUUAAUUUAGUAGAGAUAAAUCCUCGUACCUUUUGCAUCAUGGGAAAACAAGAAAUUACUUGAAAUCAAGACCCCCGAACUUUAAGUGAGCUAUUUUAUAGAAAAAUCAUAAUGUUGCAAAAUUAUUUGAUAACUGUAAAAUAGAUGCGAAAUACUUACCGCACUAAAAGAUAGCUGGUUGCUUAGAAAAGAUAUAAAAGUAUCGUCUUCAUAAUGAAGAAAAAAUGAUAAAAGGACAAGCUUUUAUCAUAGUAAUGGUAAUAGAGAGCUAAAAUUUUAACAGUAGGAAUAAAAUUUUCCAUCAUAAAUAUUGUUAUAAAAUAUAAACUAAUUAUUAGAGAAUUAUGUAUAUAUUACCUUAAAACUUUUAACUGAGCUAUGUAAAUUAACUAUUUUACUCUUACAAAAAUGAUGUUUUCAUGAGUAUUUUUAACAUAAUUAACCUUAUACCCAAAAAAGGAAUAUAUUAGAUUAAAGAAGAAAAUAUGUGUAAGGAACUCGGCAAAUAAACUACUCCGCCUGUUUAUCAAAAACAUGUCUCUUAGGAAUUAUUAAGAGUCAGGCCUGCCCAGUGAUUGCUUUUUAACGGCCGCGGUACCCUGACCGUGCAAAGGUAGCAUAAUCAUUUGCCUUUUAAUUGAAGGCUGGUAUGAACGGUUUGACGAGAGUAAAGCUGUCUCACACAUAAUUAAUAGAAAUUAAUUUAAAGGUGCAAAAGCCUUUAUAAAUCAAAAAGACGAGAAGACCCUGUUGAGCUUUAAUUUAAACCAAGUAUAAACCAUAUAUUAAUAUAAUUUAUCUACUUGAUAAAAAUUUUAAUUGGGGCGAUUAAGGAACACUCAAAAGCUUCCUGACUGUUACAAAAAUAUUCUAUAGAUUAAAUCGAUCCAGCAAUGCUGAUCAACAAAAUGAGUUACCACAGGGAUAACAGCAUAAUUCUUUUUGAGAGCUCAUAUCGAAAAAAGAGAUUGUGACCUCGAUGUUGGACUAGGGUAACCGGAAGGUGUAGCCGCUUUCCCGCUUGGUCUGUUCGACCAAUAAUUCCCUACAUGAUCUGAGUUCAGACCGGCGUAAGCCAGGUCAGUUUCUAUCUUUUGUUUAAAUUUAUUUAGGCUAGUACGAAAGGACCGCUUAAAAUAAACAUUUUACCACACAGUGAACAACAACUAAUCUCACAUUAAUGAGGUUGGCAGAGUAUAUGCAGU
RNAcentral lists this ribosomal RNA (1332 nucleotides) under Clithon sowerbianum. Its description in RNAcentral is "16S ribosomal RNA". It matches the Rfam family "Bacterial large subunit ribosomal RNA", at positions 581 to 2772 of the family's 2925-position model. Lineage: Eukaryota; Metazoa; Mollusca; Gastropoda; Cycloneritida; Neritidae. The record is from RNAcentral.